CCGUCUGUCCGGCCCGGCCCGCCGCGGGGAGGGAACGGCGCAGGCGGUGGGGGAGGCCCCGGGGCGGCGGCAGGGUGCGGGUCGGGUUUGCUCCUCACCGGGUCCCCGGUGGGGGGAAAAGCCGGUGGUUUCGCCUGGAAGAACCCCACAGUUCACGGGACUGCUGGAGUCGCAUCCCGCCGUGGCGCGGCAAAGCCAGCCCGACGCCAGCCCGGCCGAGUGCAGAAUCCAUCCCAUAAACUGCUGGGCACGCUCAGGCCAGGCAAAGUCACCUGUACGUCCUCAUGGGACAGGGCCUCGUCCCACACGUUCCCCUGCUGCUCCGUGAACCCCACGUGCUUCUGACUCUGUCCAGGGGGUUGUACGGGGAAACCCCCUAAAGGGGACACCAGGGACAAGGCAGGUGGCAACAGUGGGGCCAACACCACCGUGCCUGGUGCCCUCUCCAGGCACAGUCCCUCUGCGAGAGGGAUAACUAAAUUUUGGGCAGGGGAGAGGGGUUGAGGGUGCAGAAGGUCCUGACCAGGCGGGAUGAUCCUGCACGCCCCUUGUCCACCUGGCCGCUGGGCUCAGCUCCAGGUGAGCGUGUCCCACCCCAUCGGCUGCGCAGGAGCAGGGACCCAGAUCCAGCAUCUUCCCACCUGCGCUGGCUGGGGAUUUACCCUCUCGCCCUCAGGAGAGCUGCCGAAGUGAAACCGCGGAAGUUUUCUAGGACAAGUGAGCAAGAGGAGCUGGGGUAGAAAGAGGGAGAGCAAAAGGGAAGGGAAAAAAGCCCUCCUGGCAGGUUUUCAGGGCCCAAAGUCGCGGUGGAAAUGCUUCCCUUCCCUUAAUUGCUUCGAGACCAGAUGAAUUUCUUGAAGGAACCGCAACUGAAACGCUGCACAAAUCACAUUGUUGUGCUUGUGUUGGCUGCCUUCUUAAGGAGGUAAAAGGUCAUAGUUUAUGGUAUAUUAAAAAGAAAAAAAAAUCUUGUAGCGCUGUGGAGGAAGGGGUUGUGUUGCUUUUUCAUACCCGCGUUCUGGAGAUUAAAACCUGUUUGGCAAGCACCAGAGCGCGACUCGCAGCGAAGAGCAGGGCUGAGAAAAUGCACUGAUGCGGGGCUUUAUGUGUCCCCCCCAAGCCACCCCGUCGCAUCCCCAUCCCUCGGCUGGCAAGGCGAUGCCCACGUGAGGAGCGGGGCUCCGGGCGCUGCUCCCGUGGGGUUUGCUGGCCCACGGGGGCUGCCCGUGUCAGCCCGGCGCUGCGCCUCUGCAAGUCUCUGCAGCUUCAGGGCGCUAGAGCGUGCAGCGCUGUCUGUCUGACGGUCCUUCACUGGUGCGAAGUGGCAGGAAAGUCCUGAUUCCAGCCUCCGCUGAUUUUAUUCAAGCACAGAAACGUGGCUGCUCCUUUUUCUCCCUUUUCUCACCGGUCAGUAAAAUGAUGGAGGUUAUUUUCCUCCCGCUGGCUGUGUGUGAGCAGACGCUUGCUGCUCUGCCUCUGAGUCACCAGUGUAGAAGUGCUGCUUGCUCCUCUCGCCUCCCCUCCGGACCGCCACUUGGCUCCAGCUUCCCUUUGCUUUUAGGAAUCCCUCACCCGUAAGAGGUUGCAUCUUCCCAAAUGUGGCAGGACUUGAACCAGCAAAUGAGAAAAACGGGCAGGCCGCCUGCCCUAGGCACCAGCAGAGAGGAAGGUGCUGGACAUGCCGAGGCCCGGUGUGCUGUCCCUCACCUGUCUCAGCCCCCCGAAAGCAGCUCAGACCAUAAACCCAGGACUGGGUUGCAGACGGACAGACAGAGGGAUGCAGAACUGGCCCAGCCGCUCAGCAGCAAAGACCCAUCAUGCUGGGCGGGACGGGAGCACCUGGCCUUGUGAUGCUCACGGGCAGGAUGAGCCCCAAAGCUCGCUGGAGUCAAUGGAAAGGCUCUUGCUGACCCAAAAAGACCUGAACUGGGUCUCCAAAGGGCUCCUAUCAGCUGGGCACAGGCUGGAAGCACAGAGCUGUGUGGUUGGAUGGCCUGGGAUUUCAGAAGACAAAUUACUAUUUUUAUAACUUAAGAAGCUUUGCCCCCUUUUCUAGAAGCAUUUCUUUCAGAGCCACGUGCCCGCAGGACACAGUGAUGUUAGAUGUUGUCCCCCGAAGCGACUCGCAGCGCUGUAGGGCUGUGCCAUGGCUCUGUGGGCUUUUGUGGCCACGCCUGACCAGUGUAAAGGACCGUGCAAAGCACCUGAGCGCCAGUGACAUACCUCUGCCCUGCACAGAGACCCCCCAGCCAGCCUCGGAGCACAGUCUGAGGAAGGAAUUGAAAUGGAAAGGUGAGCUACUCAUUCAUAGAGGAGCUUGGCAUUGAUUUAUGGGAUGCUCUCAGCCCUGGUUUUGCAAGAAUAUGACGUGAUGGUAAAAAGUUUUGGAAGAUGCUGAACUCUGCCUUGUCGGUGCCAGGUGAGGCAGCAGGCGAGCAGGCGCGGGGCAGGCGGCCGUGCACACCCGAGCACGGCCUUGCAUGACUACAGCCGGCUGGAAACACAAAGACAUUGUUUUUAAGUGAUAGCGGCCCCCCCUUUCCCCGGCUCCUUGGGAGAGGACAGCAUUCCUGUGUCGCAUUCCUCAGCCACUGCUGAGAUGGGGAGGGGAGACCUGAGCCAGAGGAAGAAAGCACGUUUUAAUUAGGAAAGUGGCCCGUCUACUCAUGUGAUGGUGGUGGGUGGUGCGGGCAGGGAGGGAGAGCAGAAUUGCCCAUAAAACAAGAUAAAGUGCAUGCGGAUCAGGUAAUAAGGAUAAUUACACAAGAGCCUGUGGAUGUAAGAAUGUCAACCAGAUGUUUCCAAGUUGCGGAAAAUCAGCGGUUUCCCAACAGAUCCGCUUAGAGCAGCUGAAAGCAUCCUUUAUCCUGCAACGGCAGGGACUCAGGGCACUCCUUGGCGAGGAGGACGGGGUGGUUUGGUCCAAGGGCUGCUGACCACAGGGCAAAACUGCCUGCGGCCGCUGGCCACGCUGCCUCUGAGUUGCUUUGUGAAAGCUUUUAAGCAGAGGAAAUCCUCAGCGCAACAGCAAAUGGAAAGGGAAGAGGGCUUUGCUGGAGAGGCAAGUUCAGCUCCUUGCUCUGGGGCUGGCUUUGGGGUGAGGUCUCUGUGCCACAGCUACGCUGCCGAAUGGGGCUGAAAUACCACCGGGAGGAUGGGCGCGCACUGAUUCUUCUCCAACUGAAAAUACCCUCAGGAUACUGAAUUGCCGAUGGUCAGUAUAUGGCAGGGAGAAAGAACUGGGCUGCUGACGCCUGCAGACGAACAGGGAAAGCAUCACGAGGCGACUGGAGCCCGUCUGCCCUAACCCGCAGCUGCACCAGCCUUUCCUGGGCCGGUGGAGCCCAAAAAACUGCUUAUUCUUGUAAAAGUUUUGUUAGUACAAACACCUUCUCAGUAGCAUGGUUGGGUUCACAGCCCGAGGUCGUGUUACUUUUACCACUUCAGUUUGUGAAUGGCGCAUCUAUAAAGUUCACCAUGGACUUUGCUGUUGAUUUUUUUUUUUUUUUAAAAAAGAGCAUUUAGUGGUGGGCACCGAUAUCGGCAAAAUAGGAGAGAUUUGGGAAGGGGGAGCUGGGAAUGAGUUCCUACAGACAGCUGUUCCCAGGGCCUGGGCAGCACGGUAACCUGUGAGAGUCCUCUGA
Phalacrocorax carbo (great cormorant) is the source of this 3644-nucleotide non-coding RNA. The record is from RefSeq and is a predicted model, not a curated record. Lineage: Eukaryota; Metazoa; Chordata; Aves; Suliformes; Phalacrocoracidae.